Molecule: ribosomal RNA, 468 nt
Filed under: uncultured bacterium
Lineage: Bacteria
Description: partial 16S ribosomal RNA
Rfam family: Bacterial small subunit ribosomal RNA
Source: RNAcentral
GACGAACGCUGGCGGCGUGCUUAACACAUGCAAGUCGAACGGAAAGGCCCUGCUUUUGUGGGGUGCUCGAGUGGCGAACGGGUGAGUAACACGUGAGUAACCUGCCCUUGACUUUGGGAUAACUUCAGGAAACUGGGGCUAAUACCGGAUAGGAGCUCCUGCUGCAUGGUGGGGGUUGGAAAGUUUCGGCGGUUGGGGAUGGACUCGCGGCUUAUCAGCUUGUUGGUGGGGUAGUGGCUUACCAAGGCUUUGACGGGUAGCCGGCCUGAGAGGGUGACCGGCCACAAUGGGACUGAGAUACGGCCCAGAGUCGUACGGGAGGCAGCAGGGGGGAAUAUUGCACAAUGGGCGGAAGCCUGAUGCAGCAACGCCGCGUGCGGGAUGACGGCCUUCGGGUUGUAAACCGCUUUCGCCUGUGACGAAGCGUGAGUGACGGUAAUGGGUAAAGAAGCACCGGCUAACUACGUG